AUUGAACGCUGGCGGCAGGCCUAAUACAUGCAAGUCGAACGAGAGGCGGACGGGUGAGUAAUGUCGGGGAACAUGAAUGAUGGAGGGGGAUAACUACUGGAAACGGUAGCUAAUACUGCAUAACAGCGGCUGUGCCAACAUGGGAUAAGCUAGUAGGUGAGGUAAAGGCUCACCUAGGCGACGAUCCAUAGCUGGUCUGAGAGGAUGACCAGCCACACUGUAACUGAGACACGGUCCAGACUCCGACGGGAGGCAGCAGUGGGGAAGAUUGGACAAUGGGCGAAAGCCUGAUGCAGCCAUGCCGCGUGUGUGAAGAAGGCCUUCGGGUUGUAAAGUACUUUCAGCAGGGAAGCGUUACCCGCACAAGAAGCACCGGCUAACUCCGUGCCAGCAGCCGCGGUAAUAC
RNAcentral lists this ribosomal RNA (406 nucleotides) under uncultured bacterium. RNAcentral describes it as "partial 16S ribosomal RNA". It matches the Rfam family "Bacterial small subunit ribosomal RNA", at positions 29 to 526 of the family's 1533-position model. The record is from RNAcentral.